Molecule: ribosomal RNA, 749 nt
Filed under: uncultured Pseudomonas sp.
Lineage: Bacteria; Pseudomonadati; Pseudomonadota; Gammaproteobacteria; Pseudomonadales; Pseudomonadaceae
Description: bacterial SSU rRNA
Rfam family: Bacterial small subunit ribosomal RNA
Source: RNAcentral
AUGGCUCAGAUUGAACGCUGGCGGCAGGCCUAACACAUGCAAGUCGAGCGGCAGCACGGGUACUUGUACCUGGUGGCGAGCGGCGGACGGGUGAGUAAUGCCUAGGAAUCUGCCUGGUAGUGGGGGAUAACGUUCGGAAACGAACGCUAAUACCGCAUACGUCCUACGGGAGAAAGCAGGGGACCUUCGGGCCUUGCGCUAUCAGAUGAGCCUAAGUCGGAUUAGCUAGUUGGUGAGGUAAUGGCUCACCAAGGCGACGAUCCGUAACUGGUCUGAGAGGAUGAUCAGUCACACUGGAACUGAGACACGGUCCAGACUCCUACGGGAGGCAGCAGUGGGGAAUAUUGGACAAUGGGCGAAAGCCUGAUCCAGCCAUGCCGCGUGUGUGAAGAAGGUCUUCGGAUUGUAAAGCACUUUAAGUUGGGAGGAAGGGCAGUUACCUAAUACGUAAUUGUUUUGACGUUACCGACAGAAUAAGCACCGGCUAACUCUGUGCCAGCAGCCGCGGUAAUACAGAGGGUGCAAGCGUUAAUCGGAAUUACUGGGCGUAAAGCGCGCGUAGGUGGUUCGUUAAGUUGGAUGUGAAAUCCCCGGGCUCAACCUGGGAACUGCAUUCAAAACUGUCGAGCUAGAGUAUGGUAGAGGGUGGUGGAAUUUCCUGUGUAGCGGUGAAAUGCGUAGAUAUAGGAAGGAACACCAGUGGCGAAGGCGACCACCUGGACUGAUACUGACACUGAGGUGCGAAAGCG